GUAGGUGAACCUGCGGAAGGAUCAUUAAAUAUUUGGUGCAAAAGGAUGCUUCGGCACCUGCCAAAACAGUAGAAGGUGGCGGGGGGGGGGGUUGGGAGUUGUAGCCCACUUCUCGUCCCCCCCUCCACCGGGAAAAUUAUCCCCCAACUGUGCACCUAUUGAAAGGAACUCGGUCUUUUUUUUGGCCACCAGUAAAUAAUCUUAGUCUAAACGUUUGUCUGAUAUCUUUUACUUAUAACGAGUAAAAAAA
This 250-nucleotide unclassified non-coding RNA is filed under the name plant metagenome. Its description in RNAcentral is "partial contains small subunit ribosomal RNA, internal transcribed spacer 1, and 5.8S ribosomal RNA". The record is from RNAcentral.